Molecule: long non-coding RNA, 661 nt
Organism: Nicotiana attenuata
Lineage: Eukaryota; Viridiplantae; Streptophyta; Magnoliopsida; Solanales; Solanaceae
Exons: 2
Source: RefSeq, a predicted model, not a curated record
CCAUUCCGUCUCACCCAAAAGAAACCCUAACCUAGCCGCCCCAGAAUCCUCUCAACUCAUUAGCCGGCGGCGUUGACUUCAAUCCCUCCAAAUCACCUUAAAAUUUAACCAUACAAUCCUCACCAGCCCUUCUUUCCAAAUCCAUCGGUAUUCCUCCCUAAAACCCAGCAAAACCCAUCCAAUUUCGGAUCUGAAAACGUAAAAAAAUGCAAACCCUAAUUUCCCUCUCCUUCUCUGAUUUUGUUCAGAUUCCGACUCGUUCUAACUUAAACCUUACGUUAAUAGAUUGCUCUCAACAAGAGCAAUCAAUUGACGAUAGUUUUGAGUCAAUACGAGAAUGUCGGAUUCGGACAGGCCCACCGCAAUCUAUCCAAACCUGCUGCUGGACCAAUUCAGUUCCAUGGUUCCCUUUUGCUUUCUGGUACCUCUUUGAAUCCUUGGGUUGCAAAAUGAAUCUGAAGAUGUAUAUGUGUUGAGGCUAAUGCAUUAAUCAGUGUUUUUCUUCAGUAAAUGGCUUUUUUUAUCUGAUUAGCUCAUAUUUCCUAUCUUUUGUCAACCAGUGUUCUGCUCUGCAUAUCGAUAAAUACAGACUUGUAUUUAACGUGUAAUCUUUCAUGUAAUGUUGAAUCUUCAAGCUAUUAUGUUGUGGCUUCAGUUAUUA